Non-coding RNA from Rattus norvegicus (Norway rat), 727 nucleotides. The record is from RefSeq and is a predicted model, not a curated record. Lineage: Eukaryota; Metazoa; Chordata; Mammalia; Rodentia; Muridae.
UUCUCAUUCUCCUCUCAACGACAGACUGAAAAAGAGGCAGGGCGCAGCAAGCACUCCACUUGGCCGACACACAUAAAAUGAGAGACCUGUAAAAUGGGAGACCGUUAAAUACAAAAGCAAAAUGGCGGACCGGAAACAGCAUGCUGACGUGAUGUACAUUACAGUAGCCGAUAAGAGGAAAGACUGAAGAAGUAGGAGACAAGGCACAGCAAGUACUCCGCACAGUUGUCACAGAGAACAGACUGAAGAAGCAGACAACAACGAGCAGAAAUCACUCUGCUCUGCAGUCACAGGUUAAAUGAGAGACGUGUGAAAUGGAAGACCAUUAAACACAAAAGCAAGAUGGAGAACCUGAAACGAGAACAGACUGGAGAAGCAGGAGACAAGGAGCAGCAAACACUCUACACGGUUGUCAUAGGUAAAAUGAGAGACCUGUGAAAUGGGAGACUGUUAAAUACAAAAGCAAUAUGGGGAACCAGAAACGGUAUGCUGACACAAUGUACAUUUAUAGUAGCCAAUACGGUUCAGAACCUUGGUUUCUUAGCUCACUGUGUACCUCAGGGCAACUUAUUUUUAUUGUUUCUGUCUUUUCUUUUCUUUUCUUUUCUUUUCUUUUCUUUUCUUUUCUUGUCUUUUCUUUUCUCAUCUUUUCUUUUCUCUCUUUUCUCUUCUGAUCAUUUAUUUUCUUCUUUUAUUUUCCUUCUCCUUUCUUUCCUUCUCUUCUCCU